CUAAACCCUCUCUCUCUCUCUCUCUUUGAGUCUCUCGUCGAUCACUCCAGCUCGGAGAACAUCAUCGUCCGAUCGCCACGAGGUGUCUGUUUGUCCAUGGAGUCUGAAUCUCUCUUCGAUCGCUCCAGCUCGGAGAACAUCAUCGUCCGAUCGCCACAAGGUUACAAAAUCAUAGUAGAGCUUUCUGUCCUUUAAGGACUAAGGUAGGAGGAGAUCUAGUUUGAUGGAGAUUGGAGUUCGAUGGUCAUGGUGGAUGUGAAGACUACCCCACAGGUUUCCUUGAAAGUUUUCCACUCUUGGACAACCGAGAAAACCUGGUCUAGUUGGAUGCUUCAUCCAUGUUUUAAUGGAGUCUUCUCUUCUUCUCCAACACAACUUCCUACUCAAGCUCUCAACCAUUUCGGAUCUUUUAGAUCCCGACAGCGAGCUCUAAUACACGGCAACUGGUGAACCCAAUUCCGUAGUUUUGAGCCAGGUGAAGAGUAUGCUUAGGAUUGGGAUGUACUUGGGUUUAUUUUAUGUAGUUGGCUUUUUUUUUUAGUAACUGAACAUUGAGGUUGUAUACCUCGUAGUUGUUAUCUGUUGAGGGAGAUUUGUAUUCUGUCUGUAUUUUGGUUUUAAACCGUUAAAUGUGUCAUUUUGUGUAUCUGUAGAGCUGUUAAAGCUCAUACUUCGAUUAUGUUUGUUCACAGUUAUUUUGUUUGUAUU
Dioscorea cayenensis subsp. rotundata (Guinea yam) is the source of this 708-nucleotide long non-coding RNA. RefSeq lists it as uncharacterized. Lineage: Eukaryota; Viridiplantae; Streptophyta; Magnoliopsida; Dioscoreales; Dioscoreaceae. The record is from RefSeq and is a predicted model, not a curated record. The transcript has 4 exons.